CACAUCAAGUGUUUCUUUAUUAUGAUUUAACUGAUAAUCUGGGAUGAUGAUAACAUUUGAUUUCUUGAAAUAAAUUAGAAUGUGUGUAUAUAUACUCAAGAAUAACUAUUUUAUCACCCAUUUUUCGUUAUAUGAAUAGAUUAUUGAUAGUAUUAAUAAAUUCAAGUGUUUCCUGUCAAUUCUAUUCAAAAAGAGUUGAUGAAAAAUUACAAGUUAAUGACGUCAAUACUAUCUAAAAUGGUGGAGUUUUAGACAAGAAUUUCAAACAAGACGUCUCAAUUUCCCAGAAACUCUCUCUUGGUAUUUGAUUGGUGUAAAAAUUAUCAUUAAAUUCAGCACUUAUCUUUAAUCAUCAUAAUGCCAUUAACAAAAGAUAUGAGGUCACCGUUAAUUUUGAUUGUGGUUACAUAAAUUACAGUAAGCUUGUAUUUUUCCGUAUACUCGAACUCAAUGCUAGUCAGAUGUGCGUACGUGUACUUGAGUAUCACCGAAAUUUAAUUGUGAAAUUUUAUUGGAAUCAUUAACAUUCAAGCACUGAAAAAAAAAUUUAUUUUCAUACAAAAUGGCAUUUGUUAUGUGAGCGAAUUCUGAUGAACGAAGAUUUCUUAAUGUAUUCUAACUUCAAUUGAAUGGAACUUUUUCGGAAGCAGUUGAGUAAAAUGUCCAUGAUAAUUGCAAGCUGUCAAAAUUAGUAUUCUUUUUGGUUUGGCUGAUCGAUAAUGGAUAAUUUAAAAACCACCUUUUUCAUCACAUCUAUCGUCACCAUCAUAAGUGUUUGGUGUGUUGUAUUAUCAUUUGCAAGUCUAUGGAAUAUUCCGCUGUUAAAAUGCCCAGAAGGUCAAGCCAGAAUACACACCGGAGAAUGUGUACGUUUCUUUACCAUUAAUUUCGAUGAUCCUAAUCAUAUUAAACAACCAGCGUCAUUUACGCCUGAGAAGACUAUUAAGGAAAAUGAGGAAAAGUUACUUGAGCUAUUAAGAUCGCUACCAUUACUUAAAACUUAUGCUGAUUAUGACUACGAGUACUGAGUUAAAAGCCCCUAUUAUUGACAGGGCCCUCACUAUUGACACCCUAUUUAAUUUCAUUGUUGAAAUCGGUUAAUAAAAACAAUUUUUAAUAUUUCA
Molecule: long non-coding RNA, 1124 nt
Organism: Cotesia glomerata
Lineage: Eukaryota; Metazoa; Arthropoda; Insecta; Hymenoptera; Braconidae
Exons: 3
Source: RefSeq, a predicted model, not a curated record